This 470-nucleotide ribosomal RNA is filed under the name uncultured bacterium. RNAcentral's name for it is "bacterial SSU rRNA". It matches the Rfam family "Bacterial small subunit ribosomal RNA", at positions 43 to 507 of the family's 1533-position model. The record is from RNAcentral.
CGAUGCUUUACACAUGCAAGUCGAACGGCAGCACGGGUGCUUGCACUUGGUGGCGAGUGGCGACGGGUGAGUAAUGCAUCGGAACGUGUCCUGAAGUGGGGGAUAACGCAUCGAAAGAUGUGCUAAUACCGCAUAUUCUCUGAGGGGGAAAGCAGGGGACCGUAAGGCCUUGCGCGAUUAGAGCGGCCGAUACCUGAUUAGCUAGUUGGUGAGGUAAAGGCUCACCAAGGCAACGAUCAGUAGCUGGUCUGAGAGGACGAUCAGCCACACUGGGACUGAGACACGGCCCAGACUCCUACGGGAGGCAGCAGUGGGGAAUAUUGCACAAUGGGCGCAAGCCUGAUGCAGCAACGCCGCGUGAGGGAUGAAGGCCUUCGGGUUGUAAAGCUCUUUUGUCAGGGAAGAAACAGCAGCUCUAACACAGUCUGCGAAUGACGGUACCUGAAGAAUAAGCACCGGCUAACUACGUG